Molecule: ribosomal RNA, 253 nt
Filed under: uncultured bacterium
Lineage: Bacteria
Description: partial 16S ribosomal RNA
Rfam family: Bacterial small subunit ribosomal RNA
Source: RNAcentral
UACGUAGGGGGCUAGCGUUGUCCGGAAUCAUUGGGCGUAAAGCGCGUGUAGGCGGCUUGGUAAGUCCGUUCUGAAAGCCCGGGGCUCAACCCCGGGAGGCGGAUGGAUACUGUCAAGCUCGAGUCCGGAAGAGGCAAGUGGAAUUCCCGGUGUAGCGGUGAAAUGCGCAGAUAUCGGGAGGAACACCAAUGGCGAAGGCAGCUCGCUGGGACGUGACUGACGCUGAGACGCGAAAGCGUGGGAAGCAAACAGG